CGUAACAGCUCACUAGUCGAGCGAUCGGGCGUGGAUAAUAAUCGGGCAUAAACACAUCACCGAAGCCGUGGAUUAGAUAGUAAUAUCUACUGGUAGGGGAGCAUUCCAUUUGCGCCGAAGCAGUGUCGUGAGGCAUUGUGGAGCGGAUGGAAAAGCAAAUGUAGGCAUAAGUAACGACAAUGCGGGUGGGAAACCCGCACGCCGUAAAGCUAAGGUUUCCUGAUCAACGUUAAUCGGAUCAGGGUUAGCCGGGGCCUAAGAAAAAGCCGCAAGGCGUAUUCGAUGGAUAGCAGGUUAAUAUUCCUGCGCUCACCAUGCGAUAAAAGUGACGGAGUCCCCAUAUUGCUACGUACUGACGGAAUAGUACGUUGAGCCUAGCCCUCGGGUGAAGCGAAGCAGGGCAAGGGCUUCCAAGAAAAGCGAGCAUGGUACCCGUACCGUAAACCGACACAGGUAGCUGAGGAGAGUAUCCUAAGGCGCUCGAGUGAUUCAUGGCUAAGGAACUAGGCAAAAUAACCCCGUAACUUAGGGAGAAGGGGAUCCCGCGCAAGCGGGACGCAGAGAAAUGGCCCAUGCGACUGUUUAUCAAAAACACAGGGCUAUGCAAAAUCGAAAGAUGACGUAUAUGGCCUGACACCUGCCCGGUGCUGGAAGGUUAAGAGGAGGGGUCACGCAAGGAAGCCCUGAAUUGAAGCCCCAGUAAACGGCGGCCGUAACUAUAACGGUCCUAAGGUAGCGAAAUUCCUUGUCGGGUAAGUUCCGACCUGCACGAAUGGUGUAACGAUGUGGGCACUGUCUCAGCCACGCGCUCGGUGAAAUUGUAGUUCCGGUGAAGAUGCCGGAUACCCGCGACGGGACGAAAAGACCCCGUGCACCUUUACUAUAACUUCAUAUUGAUUCUGGUUAAGUGAUGUGUAGGAUAGGACGGAGACUAUGAGGCAUGUUCGCUAGGGCAUGUGGAGUCAUCCUUGAAAUACGUCCCUUUACUUAAUUGGAACCUAAUCCCUUCGGGGAGACAGUGUGUGGUGGGUAGUUUGACUGGGGUGGUCGCCUCCAAAAUCGUAACGGAGGCUUUCAAAGGUACCCUCAGCACGCUUGGUAACCGUGCGUAGAGUGUAAUGGCAUAAGGGUGCUUGACUGUGAGACCUACAAGUCGAUCAGGUGCGAAAGCAGGACAUAGUGAUCCGGUGGUUCCGUAUGGAAGGGCCAUCGCUCAUAGGAUAAAAGGUACUCCGGGGAUAACAGGCUAGUCUCCCCCAAGAGCUCAUAUCGACGGGGAGGUUCGGCACCUCGAUGUCGGCUCGUCACAUCCUGGGGCUGGAGAAGGUCCCAAGGGUU
RNAcentral lists this ribosomal RNA (1338 nucleotides) under activated sludge metagenome. RNAcentral's name for it is "bacterial LSU rRNA". It matches the Rfam family "Bacterial large subunit ribosomal RNA", at positions 1133 to 2573 of the family's 2925-position model. The record is from RNAcentral.